This 396-nucleotide long non-coding RNA is filed under the name Phoenix dactylifera (date palm). RNAcentral's name for it is "long non-coding RNA (PDAC_LNC002525)". Lineage: Eukaryota; Viridiplantae; Streptophyta; Magnoliopsida; Arecales; Arecaceae. The record is from RNAcentral.
GGCAAAUACAAGAUAAAGAUAAAGAUAACAAUGGGUGUUUGAUUGGCCAAAAAAGCUUUCUUAUAAUUACAUCCUAGUAUUUAUACAUAAACUUGCAAACAAAAUACGGUAACUACCCAUAUUUAGUGUGAAUACUUGCCUACAUCUAGACUCCACUUUUGUUGGCAGUUUCAGUAAUGGUGCCACUAUUCUUCUGCUUGCCAUAUGCCGAUAAUCGUUGAUCCUGCAUUGUUUCUAAUGACUGUUCAAUCCUAUAUCCCGAUCCUUUUAGUUAGGCCAAUGGAAAGAUAUCUAUAAGGAGAAGAUCGGUCUAACUCGAUAGCAGUCUUCACUUCGUCUCUUUAACGAUUGUUCAAUCUAUCCAUGUUUGUCAAACUGCUUCUCAAUUACUCAUCA